RNAcentral lists this ribosomal RNA (261 nucleotides) under uncultured archaeon. RNAcentral's name for it is "partial 16S ribosomal RNA". It matches the Rfam family "Archaeal small subunit ribosomal RNA", at positions 748 to 1009 of the family's 1478-position model. The record is from RNAcentral.
UAGCCGUAAACGAUACUCGCUAGGUGUCGGCCACGGUGCGACCGUUGUCGGUGCCGUAGGGAAGCCGUGAAGCGAGCCACCUGGGAAGUACGGCCGCAAGGCUGAAACUUAAAGGAAUUGGCGGGGGAGCACCACAACGGGUGGAGCUUGCGGUUUAAUUGGAUUCAACGCCGGAAAUCUUACCGGGACCGACAGCAACAUGAAGGCCCGGCUGAAGACUUUGCCGGAUUAGCUGAGAGGAGGUGCAUGGCGUAGUCGUGU